UAUCGACGGCGGUGUUUGGCACCUCGAUGUCGGCUCAUCACAUCCUGGGGCUGAAGCGGGUCCCAAGGGUAUGGCUGUUCGCCAUUUAAAGUGGUACGCGAGCUGGGUUCAGAACGUCGUGAGACAGUUCGGUCCCUAUCUGCCGUGGGCGUUAGAAUAUUGAGGAAAGCUGCUCCUAGUACGAGAGGACCGGAGUGGACGAACCUCUGGUGUACCGGUUGUCACGCCAGUGGCAUAGCCGGGUAGCUAAGUUCGGACAGGAUAACCGCUGAAAGCAUCUAAGCGGGAAGCCCCUUCCAAGAUGAGUAUUCUCUGGAGACUUGAUCUCCCUAAAGGGCCGUUGAAGACUACGACGUUGAUAGGCACCAUGUGGAAGUGCAGUAAUGCAUGCAGCUAAGGUGUACUAAUUGCCCGUGAGGCUUGAUUCUAUAACCUUGAAUGGUUU
This 445-nucleotide ribosomal RNA is filed under the name Leucothrix sargassi. RNAcentral's name for it is "Leucothrix sp. C3212 partial 23S ribosomal RNA". It matches the Rfam family "Bacterial large subunit ribosomal RNA", at positions 2503 to 2925 of the family's 2925-position model. The record is from RNAcentral. Lineage: Bacteria; Pseudomonadati; Pseudomonadota; Gammaproteobacteria; Thiotrichales; Thiotrichaceae.